CUGCGAAUGGCUCAUUAAAUCAGUUAUCGUUUAUUUGAUAGUACCUUACUACUUGGAUACCCGUGGUAAUUCUAGAGCUAAUACAUGCAAAAAACCCCAACUUCGGGAGGGGUGUAUUUAUUAGAUAAAAAACCAAUGCCCUUCGGGGCUCCUUGGUGAUUCAUAAUAACUUAACGGAUCGCAUGGCCUUGCGCCGGCGACGGUUCAUUCAAAUUUCUGCCCUAUCAACUUUCGAUGGUAAGGUAUUGGCUUACCAUGGUUUCAACGGGUAACGGAUUUUUAGGGAAAGAUCCCGGAGAGGGAGCCUGAGAAACGGCUACCACAUCCAAGGAAGGCAGCAGGCGCGCAAAUUACCCAAUCCCGACACGGGGAGGUAGUGACAAUAAAUACUGAUACAGGGCUCUUUUGGGUCUUGUAAUCGGAAUGAGUACAAUUUAAAUACCUUAACGAGGAACAAUUGGAGGGCAAGUCUGGUGCCAGCAGCCGCGGUAAUUCCAGCUCCAAUAGCGUAUAUUAAAGUUGUUGCAGUUAAAAAGCUCGUAGUUGAACCUUGGGCCUGGCUGGCCGGUCCGCCUCACCGCGUGUACUGGUCCGGCCGGGCCUUUCCUUCUGGAGAACCGCAUGCCCUUCACUGGGUGUGUCGGGGAACCAGGACUUUUACUUUGAGAAAAUUAGAGUGUUCAAAGCAGGCCUUUGCUCGAAUACGUUAGCAUGGAAUAAUAGAAUAGGACGUGCGGUCCUAUUUUGUUGGUUUCUAGAACCGCCGUAAUGAUUAAUAGGGAUAGUCGGGGGCGUCAGUAUUCAAUUGUCAGAGGUGAAAUUCUUGGAUCUAUUGAAGACUAACUACUGCGAAAGCAUUCGCCAAGGAUGUUUUCAUUAAUCAGUGAACGAAAGUUAGGGGAUCGAAGACGAUCAGAUACCGUCGUAGUCUUAACCGUAAACUAUGCCGACUAGGGAUCGGGCGAUGUUUCUAUAUUGACUCGCUCGGCACCUUACGAGAAAUCAUAAG
RNAcentral lists this ribosomal RNA (1009 nucleotides) under Neodeightonia microspora. Its description in RNAcentral is "SSU rRNA". It matches the Rfam family "Eukaryotic small subunit ribosomal RNA", at positions 87 to 1103 of the family's 1831-position model. The record is from RNAcentral. Lineage: Eukaryota; Fungi; Ascomycota; Dothideomycetes; Botryosphaeriales; Botryosphaeriaceae.